Pelobates cultripes (western spadefoot toad) is the source of this 213-nucleotide non-coding RNA. The record is from the annotation of a GenBank genome assembly. NCBI's taxonomy places the organism in Eukaryota, Metazoa, Chordata, Amphibia, Anura, Pelobatidae.
GCACGAUCUCACUGUUAAAUACAGACAUAAAAAUAAUUGCUAAAAUAUACGCAAAUAGAUUAGCUAACAUUCUCCCGGCGAUUAUCCACCAGGACCAGGUGGGGUUUAUCAAGGGGAGGCAAGGUACCGACGGAACGCGCAAGGUAAUCAACCUAAUACAGAGCCUACGGGGGAGGGAGCAUGGUGUAUUUCUCUCACUUGACGCCGAAAAAG